Molecule: ribosomal RNA, 508 nt
Filed under: uncultured bacterium
Lineage: Bacteria
Description: partial 16S ribosomal RNA
Rfam family: Bacterial small subunit ribosomal RNA
Source: RNAcentral
AUUGAACGCUGGCGGCAUGCCUUACACAUGCAAGUCGAACGGCAGCGGGGGAGAAGCUUGCUUUUCCUGCCGGCGAGUGGCGAACGGGUGAGUAAUACAUCGGAACGUGCCCUGUAGUGGGGGAUAACUAGUCGAAAGAUUAGCUAAUACCGCAUACGACCUGAGGGUGAAAGUGGGGGACCGCAAGGCCUCAUGCUAUAGGAGCGGCCGAUGUCUGAUUAGCUAGUUGGUGGGGUAAAGGCCUACCAAGGCGACGAUCAGUAGCUGGUCUGAGAGGACGAUCAGCCACACUGGGACUGGGACACGGCCCAGACUCCUACGGGAGGCAGCAGUGGGGAAUUUUGGACAAUGGGCGAAAGCCUGAUCCAGCAAUGCCGCGUGUGUGAAGAAGGCCUUCGGGUUGUAAAGCACUUUUGUCCGGAAAGAAAUGGCUCUGGUCAAUACCUGGGGUCGAUGACGGUACCGGAAGAAUAAGGACCGGCUAACUACGUGCCAGCCGCCGCCGUAA